RNAcentral lists this ribosomal RNA (271 nucleotides) under uncultured bacterium. RNAcentral describes it as "partial 16S ribosomal RNA". It matches the Rfam family "Bacterial small subunit ribosomal RNA", at positions 524 to 794 of the family's 1533-position model. The record is from RNAcentral.
UACGAAGGGUGCUAGCGUUGUUCGGAAUGACUGGGCGUAAAGGGUGCGUAGGCGGCCAGAAACGUCUGAUGUGAAAUCCCUGGGCUUAACCUAGGAACUGCAUUGGAUACGGUCUGGCUAGAGUCCGCGAGAGGAAGAUGGAAUUGUGCGUGUAGAGGUGAAAUUCGUAGAUAUGCACAAGAACACCGGUGGCGAAGGCGAUCUUCUGGAGCGGUACUGACGCUAAGGCACGAAAGUGUGGGGAGCAAACAGGAUUAGAAACCCCUGUAGU